GAUGAACGCUGGCGGCGUGCCUAAUACAUGCAAGUCGAGCGAACAGACUCGUAGCUUGCUCCCGUGACGUUAGCGACGGACUGGGGAGCAACACGUGGAUAAACUCCUUAUAAGACUGGGAUCACUUCUGGAAUACGGAGCUAAUACCGGAUCAUAUAUCGAACCGCAUGGUGCACUAGAUAAAGACGGGUUUGCUGUCACUUAUAGAUGGAUCCGCGCUGCAUUAGCUAGUUGGUAAGGUAACGGCUUACCAAGGCAACGAUGCGUAGCCGACCUGAGAGGGUGAUCGGCCACACUGGAACUGAGACACGGUCCAGACUCCUACGGGAGGCAGCAGUAGGGAAUCUUCCGCAAUGGGCGAAAGCCUGACGGAGCAACGCCGCGUGAGUGAUGAAGGUCCUCGGAUCGUAAAACUCUGUUAUAAGGGAAGAACAAGUGUGGAAGUAACUGGGCACGUCUUGACGGUACCUAGUCAGAAAGCCACGGCUAACUACGUG
RNAcentral lists this ribosomal RNA (497 nucleotides) under uncultured bacterium. RNAcentral describes it as "partial 16S ribosomal RNA". It matches the Rfam family "Bacterial small subunit ribosomal RNA", at positions 28 to 507 of the family's 1533-position model. The record is from RNAcentral.